AACCUUAUGGACCUGCGGGCGUAUACCUGCGGAAGGAUCAUUAACGUAUCUCUGGCGAGCGUCGUCGCGCCCCGCCGCGGUCCAAAAAGCCGCGCGGGCACCCGGUGCCGUCAAACCUUCACAAACCCACUGUGCACCUUUGCGGCAGAGGGCCUCGGGCGAGAGCUCGGGUCCGACGCCGAUCACAAACUCCAGUUCAAAUAGAAUGACCAGCGACCAGCGUGUCGUCUAAAACACUUU
Molecule: unclassified non-coding RNA, 240 nt
Filed under: soil metagenome
Description: partial contains 5.8S ribosomal RNA, internal transcribed spacer 2, and large subunit ribosomal RNA
Source: RNAcentral